GACGAACGCUGGCGGCGUGCCUAACACAUGCAAGUCGAGCGGAGACAAAUGAGUAGCAAUACGAGUUUGUUUUAGCGGCGGACGGGUGAGUAACGCGUGAGCAAUCUGUCUCUUACUGGGGGAUAACGCAUCGAAAGGUGUGCUAAUACCGCAUAAGACCACGGGUAGGACAUCUACCAGGGGUCAAAGGAGCAAUUCGGUAAGAGGUGAGCUCGCGUCUGAUUAGCUAGUUGGUGAGGUAACGGCUCACCAAGGCGACGAUCAGUAGCCGACCUGAGAGGGUGAUCGGCCACACUGGAACUGAGACACGGUCCAGACUCCUACGGGAGGCAGCAGUGGGGAAUAUUGGGCAAUGGGCGAAAGCCUGACCCAGCAACGCCGCGUGAAGGAAGAAGGUUUUCGGAUUGUAAACUUCUAUCCUUGGUGAAGAUAAUGACGGUAGCCAAGAAGGAAGCCCCGGCUAACUACGUGCCAGCCGCCGCGGUAACAC
Molecule: ribosomal RNA, 490 nt
Filed under: uncultured bacterium
Lineage: Bacteria
Description: bacterial SSU rRNA
Rfam family: Bacterial small subunit ribosomal RNA
Source: RNAcentral